Transfer RNA from Ferrimonas marina, 74 nucleotides. It matches the Rfam family "tRNA". From Rfam's summary of the family: Transfer RNA (tRNA) molecules are approximately 80 nucleotides in length. Their secondary structure includes four short double-helical elements and three loops (D, anti-codon, and T loops). NCBI's taxonomy places the organism in Bacteria, Pseudomonadati, Pseudomonadota, Gammaproteobacteria, Alteromonadales, Ferrimonadaceae. The record is from Rfam.
GCGCCCAUAGCUCAGCUGGAUAGAGCGCUGCCCUCCGGAGGCAGAGGUCAGAGGUUCGAAUCCUCUUGGGCGCG